This 399-nucleotide ribosomal RNA is filed under the name uncultured bacterium. RNAcentral's name for it is "bacterial SSU rRNA". It matches the Rfam family "Bacterial small subunit ribosomal RNA", at positions 29 to 416 of the family's 1533-position model. The record is from RNAcentral.
AACGAACGCUGGCGGCGCGCCUAAUACAUGCAAGUCGAGCGAGAAGACGUAGCAAUACGUUUGUAAAGCGGCGAACGGGUGAGGAAUACAUGGGUAACCUACCCUCGAGUGGGGAAUAACUAGCCGAAAGGUUAGCUAAUACCGCGUACGCUCCUUGGACUUCGGUUCAGGGAGGAAAGCGAUACCGUGGGUAUCGCGCUCUUGGAUGGGCUCAUGUCCUAUCAGCUUGUUGGUGAGGUAACGGCUCACCAAGGCUUCGACGGGUAGCUGGUCUGAGAGGACGAUCAGCCACACUGGCACUGCGACACGGGCCAGACUCCUACGGGAGGCAGCAGUAAGGAAUAUUGCGCAAUGGGCGAAAGCCUGACGCAGCGACGCCGCGGUGGGGGAGUGAAGGUC